Molecule: long non-coding RNA, 10991 nt
Filed under: Nicotiana tabacum (common tobacco)
Lineage: Eukaryota; Viridiplantae; Streptophyta; Magnoliopsida; Solanales; Solanaceae
Description: long non-coding RNA (NTAB_LNC016605)
Source: RNAcentral
AUGUCACUUAAAUUGAAAAAACUCUCCCUAUCCCCUCGGAAAAAAGGAGGUGUGACAGCUCUGGCGACUCUGCUGGGGAAAAGAACCCAGAACUUCUAGUUCAGGGUUUAGAAUUCGAGCUUAGAAUAACUGUUAUGUUUGGCUUUCUUGUGAUUGUCUGAUAUUACGUGUUUGGGCCUAAUGUGCUAAUUGUCGCUCAUUUACCGCUUUGAUAUUAUGUGAACUGUAGAUAAACUGUUACGACACCCUUCUUCUCUCUGAGUCUUCUAAAUCUUCUGGGAAGCGCACGCUGGCGUGGCUUCUUUUCUGUUAGAGUAUCAUAUCCCUAAUUUUAGAACGAGGAUCGGAUCAGUUACAAAGCCGGAUGGCCUUUUGGUUCCCGGUACGUUCCCCCCCUCGGUUCGAGUUGUCCGCUCGGGUAAGUCAAGUCUAGAACAAUACACCUAGGAUUUAAGCAUAGAAUAACAUAGUCUCAUGCCGGAUCCCUAGUAGGAACGUUUGUUUGCAUCACGUACAUUUGACUUUGGGACUCAAUACAUGGGUUGGGUCCGUCCAGGAUAGGUGUACCCAAAUUAAAAGACCAUCCUGAUGCAUUACGUGCUACUUGUGUAUUCAUUUGCUUCGGGUUGUAUGUUGACCGACUUUUAGAAUAGGGAAAGAAAAUCAAGAAAAAAAAACAACCAGAGUAAGGUAGGUAUUUGAAACAUUUUGAAACUCUGUCAAAAUUUUGAAAAACAAAGAGAGAAAAUAAGCCAAUGUUUUCAAAAUUCAUGUUUCCCUUGUUCCGUCAAAACUGACCAAACUACGCGAGUCUGAUUCUCACCGGAUGUGAGAUACGUAGGCAAACCUCAUCAGUUCCGGACCACAAUUUUAAAAAUCCAAAAAUAUUUUUCUUUACUUCCUCCUUUAGAAAAGUCUUCCUUUGAGAACCCAUUUUUUAAAAAAUUCAAAAAUAUUUUCCUUUAAUUCCUUCUUUAGGAUUCUUUUUUUAGAAAAUCCCAAAAAUAAAAAAAAAAUAAAAAUUUUUAAACCAAAAAAAUAUUUUAUUGUAGGAGUCUUUUAUUAGAAAAAGAAAACAAAUGAAAAUCAAAAUCCAAAAAACAAAAAUAUUUUCUACAUUGUUUUUAGAAAGUCUUUCUCCCAAAAAUCCAAAAAAAAAAAAAAAUAUCAAAAGCCAAAAAAUAUUUUUCUUUCUUAUAUAGAAGUCCUUUCGGAAAAAAUUAGAAAAAAAAAAACAAAUCAAAUUCCAAAAAUAUUUUCUUUCUUCUUUAUAACUCUUUCUUUCGGAAAUAUAAAAAAUCAAAAUCCAAAAAGAGUUAGUUUAUUUACUUUAUUUCUGAUCUCCCCAAACUACGCACGAUCUAAUUCAUGUUCCCACAUGAUACGUAGGCAACCCACGUCAGGUUCGAUCGACCAAACAAAUAAAAGAAAAAUGAAAUGAUAUGAAAAUGAAAAAAAAAUAAAAAAAAUGAUGAUGAUAAUAAGGACCGACUGAGUCCAUUCUAACGUGUCUCUUAUUUUGAAUCAUAGAAGAAAAUUUGAGGUGGUCGAUUUGUGGCAAGCUGGCAAUACAAAAUCCAAACGAAAAAUGUCAUUGACAACUGACAUUGAAGUGGUUACGAGUGGUCAAGAGACUCGGGGUCAGAGGGUUCAACAAGAGUCUAUUGUGGUUGAGGAAAAUAGAAUACCGAAAUAGCAAAUGACUGAAAUGUGUCAAGGAUCGGCCAAUGGUCAAGGACCACCCCUUUCUCAUGUUUUCCCAAAAUUCACACCCAUCUCGACUAUUACCACUCCUGUCUCAUUGUCUGAUCGAUCUUAUCCAUUUGGGUUCAGUCUUUAUCCCAACUGUAUGACUACAACUGGAAAUUCUGUUGCGCGCUCCCAAAGUGUGCCAUUGGCAACCAAUCAGACAAUCACUGUUGUUAUGCCGGUUUUCACAAUCCCACAGCCAACAGUGGUAUAAAAGAAAAGUCAUGAGUCACAAUUUGCUACCCAUCACGAACAAUACCAUUCUCCUGAGUAUCACUCGUACCUAUUUGAUCUUCCUUCAAAGAUUGACAAGCCUACACGAAAGAUGGCAUAAGAAGAAAUGACCCAAAGAGUGAAAAACUUAGAACAAAAGUUGAAAAACAUACAAGGGUCGGCAGGUCAGAAGAGUAUUGCCUUCAAGGAUCUAUGUAUGUUCCCCGGUGUUCGUUUGACACUUGAUUUCAAGACUCCUAAAUUUGAAAAGUAUGAUGGACACGGAGACCCCAUAGCCCACCUAAAAAGGUAUUGCAAUCAACUAAGAGGUGUGGAGGGAAAAGAAGAACUAGUAAUGGCUUAUUUCGGGGAAAGCCUGACAGGGGUAGCCUCUGAAUGGUUUAUGGAUCAAGAAACCUCUCACUGGCAUGUCUGGGAUGACAUGGCCCAGGCCUUUGUCAAACAGUUCCAAUACAACAUCGAUAUCGCCCCAGACCGCAAUUCCCUUUCGAACCUGAAGAAGAAACCAACUGAAAGUUUCAGAGAAUAUGCCAUUAAAUGGAGAGAGCAAGCAGCUAGAGUUAAGCCACCCAUGGAUGACCACGAGCUAAUCACUAUCUUCCUUCAGGCUCAAGAGCCAGAUUAUUUUUAAAAUAUGAUGUCCGCAGUGGGCAAAUCCUUCUCGGAAGCAAUCAAAAUUGGGGAAAUGGUUGAGAAUGGCCUUAAGACAUGCAAAAUUAUAAGUCAAGCACUUCUCAAAGCUGCAACUUAGGUUGUCUAGAUUGAAUCUGAUAAUUUUAGUGACACGAAUGAGAAGGAUAAAGAAACCAUGAUGACAAUAAGGUCGAGAAGAGGUCCUAGGAGAACAUCUCAAAGGUAUGAGCAGCCUCAUCAGGUUUUCGAUGAUUCCCCUGAGCACUACUAUCCACCUUAGAACCCACAAUACUCUAUUGCUCCACUUCAGUAUGUUGUCCAGCCACCAAGACACCCUAGAAGGUGAGCACCAGCACCGCAAAAUCUCCACCAUCCUCCACAAAAUUUUCAAGUGCCCUAUAACCCACAUCCAAGCCAGGGGUAUAGAGGGGAACAACGGUUGAAAGAUAAUUUUACACCAAUAGGAGAGUCCUAUGCAAGUGUGUUUGAGAAAUUAAAGCAUUAUGACAUGAUUGUACCUAUUCCUCCAAAUUAUGUGGACCCACGUGCAAGAAGCUUUGACCCUUCUAAAAGGUGUGAAUACCAUUCUAAUGCCAGGGGCACAAUGUUAAAAGUUGUCGGGAUUUGAAAAGAGAAAUAGAAAGGAUGAUCUAGGAAAAACUGAUUGUGAUCUAAGAUAAUGACACCCAGAAUAUCACGCAGAAUCCUUUACAUGCACAUGAUGAUGCACACUUUGUGGGGAUGAUGUGUGGUGACAUGGAGUAUGAGAAUCCUCUCGGGAACUUGCCGACUGAAAUUGGAGAAGGCCAUGGUAAUUCUGAUGAGCAAAUUUGUGGCUAAAUGUCAAGCUUAGCAAUUGAAAAGUCAUUCCCUCCUCACUAGGAAAGAAUCUUGGUAGCUUGUUUUGAUAUGUUUUCUAUUAUCUGGGUUAUUUCAAGGUUGUGAUCUAGAUUUUUAUGUUUUAUUGAGUCAAACCCUUCCAUCCCUCUAUUCUGUUUGUGUGAGUCUUGUCUGUCUGUUCUGUUGCUAUUUUCAUUAUCCGGGUUAUUUUAGGGCUGUAACUCAAAUUUUAGGUUGUUUGUCUUGUUGUUAAACCCUUCCAUCCGUUAUUCAAUGAAAUACAGUUUGUCCUUAUGUCAUUCUAUGCUUAGUUAUUUCGUCGCUAGUUCUAGUGACAUGACAUACAUGCGGAAUUUUUGGUCAGAUCUUAGAAAAUUAAUUUAAUCUUGAAUCGGAUAACCAAAAAAAAGAUAUUUUUGAGGAUGAACAAAGAGUCGAAACACUUUGGAAUUAAGCUCAAGUAAGUUUUACCUUAAAAUCAUUGUGAAGAUCGGGUUUGGGAAAGAAUCAAUUGAAGUUUGUUGGAAUGUUUGACAUUAAGGGAUGGAAAGUGUCUUUCGACUACAACAAACUAAGAAGACAAACAUGUUCAUCAAUGCUGAGACCGCAAAAGAUAAUAUGUUUGGCGUUUUCGAGGCUGGGAGGCCCUUUUUGUGCUACCCAAACACUUUAUACCCUUUGUUACCCCUUUUGAGCCUGUGUUAUUUUGUUCGACCACCCUCUUUUGGAAUCAAGUUUAGAGUUAAAAGUCCAAUAAAUAAAUAAAAAAUAAAUAAAUAAAAGCCCAUGCCCCAAGAGUACAAACUGGGGCAACUCUUAGAAAGUACAAGUAAAAGAAGAAGAAGAAGAAAAGAACAGUCAAAAGCUCAUGCCCCCAGAAAAUAAAAGUUGGGACAACUUGUUUUGAAAAAAAAAAAGAAAUGGAAAAAAAGAUAGAGAUAAAAAAAAGGUUAGGUUAGAGGUUUGAACUACGUUAGACCUGAUUCCAUAAAAAAAUGAUACGUAGGCAGCCUUACAUGGUUCAGUCCAACCAAAUAAGAUUCAAAAGNNNNNNNNNNNNNNNNNNNNNNNNNAUUUUGAGUCUACUUUGAGCCUUCAUGUCAACCUUUCUUUCCAACCCUAUACCAAAAAUCCUUCCAAAAAAGACCUCCUGAUAUGCCUUCAAUAAUGCCAAGAGAAGCAUGCAAUGAGCAAAGGUUGUCACGCGACAUAAAACACUAUCAAGUUGCUCACACAAGAAAGCAAAAUAAAAAUAAAAAUAAAAGAAAAAUGAGAGAGUGUUACUAGUGAAAACCCUCACGGGCACUGUAAGACGACGGUAAGCAGAGAUGAAUAAAUGAGAGAGACUUGUUGGUGAAAACCCAUCGGGACAUCACUAGUCGAUAGUGAGUCGUGAAGCUGAUGCAAAGGAUUGGCACGAACAAGCCCGACUUCAAAGUCAUAAGAAUGGUAAAAGGGAAGAUUUGGUCAGUUUGAUAGAUCAGACCGUUAAGUCCAAAAUGCAUGUCAUGAUCAUUAAGGCUAGUUACCGCAAAAUAAGAAGAAAAAAAGAAAAGAAAGAAAAAAAAACUCUUCCUUCUGUCCUUCCGACAGGGGCAUUUCUUGUUAAUACUUGUUUGUUUUGCAUCAUUGUGUCCUUCACUCUGAGCUAGUCCUUGUCAAAACAAGCAAGAAAAGAUUUCAAAAUCUGCUACCAGCUUUUCAGUUGCACAACGCAAAUUUGACCAGCACACUCAGUUGUUACAAUCAACAUGUCUUGAGGAUUCAUGCAAAGGCUCCACCCCAAAAGACUCUUGUCAGCCUACUUGGCUAAAGCAAGCAAAGAUAACCUCGAGUUUAAUCAGGGAUCCUCUGUAGUACCGAACAAGGACUAUGAAGUGUGCACAUCGUGCAAAAGUCACUUACCAGUUGUGAUUCUCUCUGACGAACAAAUUGCUCCAAAAGCAAAAGCCAUUCAAGAUAUCAGAAAAUGUCACCCAAGUAAAGAUCUCCAGUUAGGAUAAGGCUGAUUGAGCCACAAAUACAAAUGGUGCUGGGUGUAAAGCAAUCAAGGUUGAUACAACACAAAAUUCUCUUGAAACCGACUCAAGGUGAUCGAGCAAAAGCCAAGUUGCCCAAAACUCAAGGCCAUAAACCGACCACCACUUUUAAAACUGAUAAAUUUUCUUUGUUGAAACAGGAACAAAGCAGUGCAAGGAAGUUGGUUCAAAAACAAAAAAAAAAAAAGAAGAAGAAAAGAAAGAAAAAGAAAAAAGAAGAGAGGAGCCGACAAAGGGAAGUUUCUCAAAUCUUUGCCUUUAUCUGUCUUGCUAGUGUACAUAAAAUGUUGUCAUUGCUCUUAACAUUUUUCCUCCUAGGAUAAAAAAUCCUAGUCUAAUGGAUUUUCUCCCAAUAAAAAUCUUAGUCUGAUGAAAUUUUCUCCUAAGAUAGAAAACCUAGUGUGAUGAAUUUUCUCCUAGGAUAGAAAUCUUAGUCUGAUAAAUCUUUCUCCUAAGAUAACAAAAAAAGACCUAGUCUGAUGAAAUUUCUCCUAGGAUCGAAGUCUUAGUCUUAUGAAUCAUUCUCCUAGGAUAAACAUCUUAGUCUGAUGAAUCUUUCUCCUAAAAUAAUAAAAAAGAGACAUAGUUUGAUGAAUUUUCUCCUAGGAUUGAAAUCUUAGUCUGAUGAAUCUUUCUCCUAAGAUUGAAGACCUAGUCUAAUGAACUUUCUCCUAAGACAGAAAUCUUAGUCUAAUGAAUCUUUCUCCUAAGAUUAAAACCUAGUCUGAUGAAUUUUCACCUAGGAUAAUAAGUUUAAAAAAAAGGGAAGUCUAGAAUUUUAACAAAAAAAAGGGGUCAAUUUUCAGCUUUCUUAAGUUAUCAAUCUUUAGUUUUCUUGAAAUCAGGGGUCUCGCCUAGAGAAUAGGGUCAGUUUUUAGUUUAGUCAAUCUUAGUUUUAUAGUUUUCCGCAAGCUCAAUCUCAAAUCUAGGAAAUACACUUCCUAGUUUGGUUUUUCAGAUUUUUAUUUCUUUAGGAGACACACUUCCUAAUUUGGUUCAUUCAAGUUUCACCCCUAGGAGAUGCAUUUCCUAGUCUGGGACAUUCAGGUUUUUUUUGGUUUUACUCACAAGAGGUGCACAUCCUAGUCGAGUCUUCAAUUUUACUCUCAUCAUUACAUCCUUCAUCAAUAGCAUAGGUGAUUUAUAGUUCUGCUAAUAACUCACAAAUCUUCCUAGUGUAAAUUGGGGCAGAAAAAGUUUCUUUUGUUGUUUCCGUUUUGCUGUAGUGGCAGGCGCCCACCUGGAGAACGAGGAAAUUUAUUUCAGUGUUAAGUCAAUAUCAGGCACCCACCUAGAAAAUGAGGGAAUUCAUUUCAGUGUUAAGUUAACAUCAGACACCCACCUGAAAAACGAGGGAAUUCAUUUCAGGUUUUAAGUCAGCAUCAGAUACCCACCUGGAGAAUGAGGAAAUUCAUUUCGAGUGUUAAGUCAACAUCAGGCACCCACCUAGAAAACGAGGGAGUUUAUUUCAAGUUUUUAAGUCAGCAGACGCCCACCUGGAGAACGAGGGAAUUUAUUUCAAGUUUUAAGUCAACAUCAGCCGCCCCUUGGAGAACGAGGACAUUCAUUUUAGGUUUUAAGUCAGCAUCAGGCGCUCACCUGGAGAACGAGGGAAUUCAUUUAAGGUUUUAAGUCAGCAUCAGGCACCCACCUGGAGAAUGAGGGAAUUUAUUUCAAGUUCAAGUUAGAGAGACAUCAAGAGCCCGCCUGAAGAACAUGGUCAACUUUCGAUUUUCAAGUUCAAGUCAGAGACAGCAGGAUCCCGCCUGAAGAAUAAGGUCAAUCUCCAGUUUUUCAAUUCAAAUCAGAAGUAGCGCGAGCCGCCUGAAGAACAAGGUUGCAAGCUCAAGUCUACCGCAGUUUAAGUCUAUUUCAAGUGCAAGCAGCAGGGUGCCCGCCUGAAGAAUAGGGUCAACUUCCAGUUUAUUUCAAUUUUCAAGUCAUUGGAAGACGCCCACCUGGAGAAUGAGGGAAUUCAUUUCAAAUUUAAAGUCAGUUGCAGGCGCCCGCCUGAAGAACGAGGGAAGUCAUUUCAGAAUUCAAUUCAAGUUAGAAGUACAGAAGCUCGCCUCAAAAAUGUAAGUCGACAGUCCGAGAUGACCAAAAGAAGAAAUCUCAAUCCAGAAUAAAAGAAAAAAAGAAGAAGUGAAUUUAAAAUACAAAAGUAGAUGAAAAUAUAUAGGCUGCUCAAGAUAUGGCUGAAGUCACAAGCUUUGCAUGUCCUGUCUUGAUCCGAAAAGUUGAAGAAGAAAGAACUAGCACCUGCAGCUAGCAAGCAUCAAGGUUCAAAUCAAAAGUCUGCAUAAAGAAUCAUUCAAGACUCAAGAUCAAGUUUCAGAAGACUCAUAGAUAGGAAUCUUGUAACUCGUAGCUGAUAGGCUUAGUUAGUUUCUUUUUCAUUUUGACUUUGGUGUAAUAGGGAGCUCAGCAAUAAAAAGCAGCAGCAGCAGUGAAAUCACAGCGUCUCAGUAGUCCCAACUACCAAAACUUCCAGAACUACACUGACCUGAUUCCUUUAUAGCCAAGGAUAUGUAGGCAAUCUCCGAAGUAAGGUUCGGUCGAACUUUUCCAAAAUGCUUCCCAUGGAGUAUGAAACGGGCAAAAAUUAUUCAUGAUUGCUCACUUUAUCUUUGCCCGAAAACUCUUUGUGUUCCCGAGCAAAGAGGGGCAGCUGUGAGCACCUGAUUUUUGUCCCACAUAUGAAAUUACUCCUAAAAAAUAAUCCAAAAAUAAUUUUAAUUAUUUUAUGAACUUUAGAAGUUUUUCUUUAUUUGUUUUGCAUUUAUUCGCAUUAUUUAUGCAUGUUAGGAAUAUCGUAAAUCAUAAAAAUCAUAAAAAUAUUCAAAUCUUAAUUUUAUAGCAUUUUAUUUUUUAAAUUGCAUUUUUAGGAUUUAAUUACAUUGUUAAAAGCAUUAUUUAAAUAUCUAAAAACCAAAAAAAAUACAUUCUUAUACUAGUUAAUUAAUUAGGUCAUUAGUCAAUUAAGGAAUAAAAUAUAUAUAAUAGUUUAGCCACACAAAUUAGUUUAGUCAAGCCCAUCCCUUUAGAAUCCCAAUUUCCAUUACCCGCCUGGCCAAACCGGAACCCCUCUUCUCUUUAAAACACCCAUUUUCCCAAACCCUAAAGAGGAGACUAGAAGAACAACACAAUCGGACCCCCUUUCCUAAAAACCCUACCCGCCCCAUCUCUCAUCUUCUCUCUCACGACCCCCCUCCCUCGAUUCCCAUCGGAAAACAAACUCACCAUCACACUCACACGAAGAUGAAGGCUCACCUACUCAUGAUUUGAACACAAAUGGAUGAAACAAAGCUGGAUAAUUCGAAUGAAGAUCUUAAAAUCACAAAGCUUGAAAAACAAAGGAAGAACAAUAGAGUUUGGUAGAUUACUUCGUAUUUUGGAUUCGAACAAUUUAAAAUCGAAGCUGUGUUUGUUUGCUGCUGAUUUCGAAUUGAUUCGUCUGGGUUUCGAAUUUUUCUUCCUCCGAUUUGGGACUGCUAUUUGCUGAACUUCAUCUUCUGUUCAGACCUUAUCUUGUUUUGAUCGAUGUUUAGUACACUUGGUUGAUAUUUUCUGGGAUUUCAAAGGGAUUUGAGCUAUAGAACGGCUAUCUGUUUGAUUGGGAUCUGCUGUUCUACUGAAAUUACUGCCAUUUCUUCACUUCUCCACUGUUUUCUUUUCUUCCUUACUCAUUUUUUUUCAAGGUAUUCCUUAAACUUUGAUCUUAUAAUUAUGUGUAAAUCCAUGGACCGUGCUUAUUAUAGAUUGAAUGUUAUUGAAAUAAGUUAUGUAUAUGCAUCCUUGUUGAAAUUAAUGGUUUAUUAUGAUUAAAUGUGCUAUAAGUUUGUUUCAAUGUGAAAUUCAGCUUAGUGAGGAUCAUUUUGUUCUGUUUGUUCCUUUGGAUCAUGCAUAUAGAGUGGUUGAUUGCACAAUUUUUUUUAUUUAUUGCGAGACCAUUUUUGUGCUCACAAGUGACCUGUUAAAGGUUCAUUUUGAGUAUGUUAAGUAAAUAUGGUCCAUCAAUUUCAAGGUCCAUCAUAAACCUGUUCUCACCUUAAUGUUGGAUAAUGGCAUGAAAAAGCUAAUCUCCUUAGUAUUAAUUUGUUGAAAUAUGUAGUUAGUUUAUUUUGUGGUUUAUUUUGUUUUGUCAUCUACUGUGUAAUCCCAAAUGUGUGGGCACCAAUGGAAUUUCCAGCCGUGAAUCGAAGAACCAGAAUCAUCACAAGCCUUUGAAUUAAUUUGAACGUACUAAGAAUUCUUUAAUCAUAUGAAUAGAUCAAACAUUAACUCCAACACUUCUUUUGUCGUACUGUGCCGUCCUCAAUAAUCUUAAAGUAGGAAGAGCAAUUUUGAACAUCGUAACUUGUUUUAGGCGCGAUUAAUAAAUCAUCGUGGCCAUGGGUACGGUUCCCGUGGCAUGAUCACGAUACGUAAAUCCCAAUUUGAGUGUGCAUUUCACGUGACUCGACCAGAACUUUAAAUAAUAAUAAAAGUUUACAUGUUGUAAAUCGUGGGUACGUUUCACGUGGCGCGAUUCGCAAUGUGUACAAAAAUAAACGAGCGCGCGACAUCGCGACUUGUUCAAACAAAAUUUCAUAAAUAUUAAAAGCAGUUAAAAGAUAAAAAUCCACAAUAGGUUUCAAAUAUAUAUAAAUCAGAUAAUUAGGCCAAUUAUUACUAGUUAAGCGACCGUGCUAAAACCACAGAACUCGGGAGUGCCUCAUACCUUCUCCCGGGUUAAUAGAAUUCCUUACACGGUCUUCUGUGUUCGCAAACCAAAAAAUAGAGUCACAUUUCCUCGAUUUGGGAUUUAAAAUAAACCGGUGACUUGAGACACCAUAACUUAUUCCAAGUGGCGACUCUGAAUAAAUAAAUAAUUCCAUUUCGAUUAAUGUCACUUAAAUUGAAAAAACUCUCUCUAUCCCCUCGGAAAAAAGGAGGUGUGACACUCGUCAUCCUCGAUUUUGUAAAAAUCAAAAUAACGCUCUGCUUGGAAUAUCCAAGCCUCUGGGUUCUCACCAUGAAACCUUCCAAUCUCCACCGAUGCACGCUUGUGCCUGAAAGUUUCUGGUACCGGUCCUUGGCGAACAACGUCCAGUGCUUGUUCACGUCGAUUAAUCCUUGCCGGUGCUUUGGUUGCGACCAUGUCCAUCAUGAUGUCACGCAUCUCUGAAAGUUGUUUAGUGAAUGAAUCCUUUACCUCCUGAAUCGAACCCCGAAUUGAGUCAUUAAUGAACACCUUGAGUAUUUGUUGGUCCUCCAUUAGAGACCUCUGGAUGAAAGCACCAAUGGAAUAACCCGAUAAACACUAAGAAUCACUGAUUGUAUUACUCAAUCCAAUCCGCAAUUACAACAACCCAAAUAGAGAUAUAACAGUACUAAGCUAGACUUAACAGAGAAAUGGAUGAGGAGAGAAAUUACAGAGCAAAGGGGAUGAGAAGAGAAUUUGCAGAGCAUAAGGGUAUGGGAAAGAGAUACUUAAUGCACCAGAAAAUUCCU